CCUACGGGUGGCAGCAGUGAGGAAUAUUGGUCAAUGGGGGAAACCCUGAUGCAGCGACGCCGCGUGGGUGAAGAAGUAUUUCGGUAUGUAAAGCCCUAUCAGCAGGGAAGAAAGAAGACGGUACCUGACUAAGAAGCCCCGGCUAACUACGUGCCAGCAGCCGCGGUAAUACGUAGGGGGCGAGCGUUAUCCGGAUUCACUGGGUGUAAAGGGAGCGUAGACGGCCGUGCAAGCCAGGAGUGAAAGCCCGGGGCCCAACCCCGGGACUGCUCUUGGAACUGUGCGGCUGGAGUGCGGGAGGGGCAGGCGGAAUUCCUGGUGUAGCGGUGAAAUGCGUAGAUAUCAGGAGGAACACCGGCGGCGAAGGCGGCCUGCUGGACCGCGACUGACGUUGAGGCUCGAAAGCGUGGGGAGCGAACAGGAUUAGAUACCCUUGUAGUC
RNAcentral lists this ribosomal RNA (441 nucleotides) under uncultured bacterium. RNAcentral's name for it is "partial 16S ribosomal RNA". It matches the Rfam family "Bacterial small subunit ribosomal RNA", at positions 338 to 795 of the family's 1533-position model. The record is from RNAcentral.